Phasianus colchicus (ring-necked pheasant) is the source of this 935-nucleotide long non-coding RNA. RefSeq lists it as uncharacterized. The record is from RefSeq and is a predicted model, not a curated record. NCBI's taxonomy places the organism in Eukaryota, Metazoa, Chordata, Aves, Galliformes, Phasianidae.
GGGAAACUGGGGUGAAAGAUUCAGAUACUCAUCCGAAGGGGGACAGAAUUAAGGAGCGUUGCUAAAACCUCACGUGCACACACACAGCAGCAGCACAACGCUGAGAAAAACGCCGUCAUGUCAAACCGUGUCAGCCCCUGGCUCACCUUCGUUUUCUUCUGCUUCCUUCCCCAGGAAGGUGUAACGCGUGCCCGCCGCUUGCCGCGAGGCCUGCCCAGCCCACCAGCUCGCCCUGAGCCAGCAGCACUUCAGACGACCCGAGCCACGGCGCCGCCUUUCAGUUCCACUAGAUCUGAUUUUCAGUGGGAGAGAUCAGAGCUGAGGACAGCUUUCAGGAUGUGGAUGUGUCAGAGUUUCAGUCUUCCUGUGGCAUCUCCAAGUCUACUAGACUCAACAAGAAGUUGAAAGAAAAACAAUUGGUAGCUGAAUCAAAACCAGUUGUAAUCAGCUUACCUUCUGUUACAUGUUAUACCUUGAAUAUCUGAAAAGAUCCGCAUUACAGAUCACAGUUCACUCUGACAGUUCUUCAUCUGACUAUCAAUGUUAGAGAACAACAGGAGACAUCAACCAUUUUGUACAAAGAUCCAAAUAAAUUGCCCGUUCGUGUGAACAAAGAAAAUGUGCAGUUACACGAGUGCGCACCACCACACAGCACGGCACGGGCAGAGCCGAGGAUUGUCUACUUCGGAGCGACAGGUCUCCGGCACCUUCCGUACCGCAUCAGGUUCAGGUAGCGGGGAACAACGCACAGCAGAAGGCUGGAAGGAGCUUUUCCGUGCAAACUGGAAGACGACCCCAUUUCCCCGGUGUGGAAAAAGGAGCGGGUGACGGUCUCCUUCCCCACAGCAGCGUCCCGCCGCGCACUUCCGAACUCGGGGUACCCGCGGAGCACCAGGAGCCGUGCGGCGCAAGGACAGCAGCCGGCUCAUCGCUGC